RNAcentral lists this long non-coding RNA (575 nucleotides) under Vigna radiata. RNAcentral's name for it is "long non-coding RNA (VRAD_LNC012251)". Lineage: Eukaryota; Viridiplantae; Streptophyta; Magnoliopsida; Fabales; Fabaceae. The record is from RNAcentral.
UUAAUGGUGGGACAUUGGUGUAUGACGCAAAAUUAGAAGUGGCAGUUGGGCUGGCAAGUGGCAUUGCAUGAUUGUUGCAACCAGGAGAUGACACGCAAGUGGAAGAGAGGGGCGACUCAUGGCUACUAAAAGAGGAUGGACAACACACAAGUUGGAUAAGGAAUAAAGUAAAGGUGCGGAAGCAAGAUGUUGGUGGAGCGAAGGCGCAACAAUAAUUGGGAAGUGUGGCAGCACUAAAGAAAGCCUUGGAGCGUAAGGCGAUGAGGAAAAUAGAAGGAGCACACAACGUCAAAUAGAAAGAGGCGAGGUCUGAACAAGAGAGAGGCUCAUGAUAUCAUGUAAGAAAAAAAAAGGAUUUGAAUGUAUGCCAUUAUAUAUUAGAGAUAGGUAUAUAUGCAUAAGAGUAUCUAAAUCAAGAAUUUAAUUACGCACAUCACAAUUACAUAAUAUUUAAUAACCUAAUUGUAGGAAUUUUAUUAACUUAAUUACAAGAGAUUAAUUUCUACUUAGCUUAAUUUUAGAUGAAUAAUUUGGAUUUUAUCAAUUAAAAAUCAACAUUUUCUCUAAUAGUUUUU